GGCUCUUUAGCUCAGUUGGUAGAGCAGAGGCCUGAAGAGCCUUGUGUCCCAGUUCGAGUCUGGGAGGAGCCACCA
RNAcentral lists this transfer RNA (75 nucleotides) under Candidatus Saccharimonadota bacterium. Its description in RNAcentral is "Candidatus Saccharibacteria bacterium tRNA-Phe". It matches the Rfam family "tRNA". From Rfam's summary of the family: Transfer RNA (tRNA) molecules are approximately 80 nucleotides in length. Their secondary structure includes four short double-helical elements and three loops (D, anti-codon, and T loops). The record is from RNAcentral. Lineage: Bacteria; Candidatus Saccharimonadota.